CCUACGGGCGGCAGCAGUGGGGAAUAUUGCACAAUAGGGGAAACCCUGAUGCAGCGACGCCGCGUGAGUGAAGAAGUAUUUCGGUACGUAAAGCUCUAUCAGCAGGGAAGAAAAUGACGGUACCUGACUAAGAAGCCCCGGCUAACUACGUGCCAGCAGCCGCGGUAAUACGUAGGGGGCAAGCGUUAUCCGGAUUUACUGGGUGUAAAGGGAGCGUAGACGGCAGCGCAAGUCUGGAGUGAAAUCCCAUGGCUUAACCAUGGAACUGCUUUGGAAACUGUGCAGCUAGAGUGCAGGAGAGGUAAGCGGAAUUCCUAGUGUAGCGGUGAAAUGCGUAGAUAUUAGGAGGAACACCAGUGGCGAAGGCGGCUUACUGGACUGUAACUGACGUUGAGGCUCGAAAGCGUGGGGAGCAAACAGGAUUAGAUACCCGAGUAGUC
This 440-nucleotide ribosomal RNA is filed under the name uncultured bacterium. RNAcentral's name for it is "partial 16S ribosomal RNA". It matches the Rfam family "Bacterial small subunit ribosomal RNA", at positions 338 to 795 of the family's 1533-position model. The record is from RNAcentral.